Molecule: ribosomal RNA, 350 nt
Filed under: uncultured bacterium
Lineage: Bacteria
Description: bacterial SSU rRNA
Rfam family: Bacterial small subunit ribosomal RNA
Source: RNAcentral
AGAGUUUGAUCAUGGCUCAGGAUGAACGCUAGCGACAGGCUUAACACAUGCAAGUCGAGGGGCAGCACGGUGUAGCAAUACACUGGUGGCGACCGGCGCACGGGUGAGUAACACGUGUGCAACCAACCCCGUACCGGGAGAUAACCCGCGGAAACGUGGACUAACAUCCCAUAAGACUCUAGAGCCGCAUGGCUCUGGAUUUAAAAUUCCGGUGAUACGGGACGGGCACGCGCGACAUUAGGUAGUUGGCGGGGUAACGGCCCACCAAGCCGACGAUGUCUAGGGGUUCUGAGAGGAAGGUCCCCCACACUGGAACUGAGACACGGUCCAGACUCAUACGGGAGGCAGCA